RNAcentral lists this ribosomal RNA (271 nucleotides) under uncultured prokaryote. RNAcentral's name for it is "partial 16S ribosomal RNA". It matches the Rfam family "Bacterial small subunit ribosomal RNA", at positions 524 to 794 of the family's 1533-position model. The record is from RNAcentral.
UACGUAGGUGGCGAGCGUUGUCCGGAUUUACUGGGCGUAAAGGGAGCGUAGGCGGACUUUUAAGUGAGAUGUGAAAUACCCGGGCUUAACUUGGGUGCUGCAUUUCAAACUGGAAGUCUAGAGUGCAGGAGAGGAGAAUGGAAUUCCUAGUGUAGCGGUGAAAUGCGUAGAGAUUAGGAAGAACACCAGUGGCGAAGGCGAUUCUCUGGACUGUAACUGACGCUGAGGCUCGAAAGCGUGGGGAGCAAACAGGAUUAGAUACCCGGGUAGU